RNAcentral lists this ribosomal RNA (712 nucleotides) under Pseudomonas aeruginosa. Its description in RNAcentral is "bacterial SSU rRNA". It matches the Rfam family "Bacterial small subunit ribosomal RNA", at positions 68 to 773 of the family's 1533-position model. Lineage: Bacteria; Pseudomonadati; Pseudomonadota; Gammaproteobacteria; Pseudomonadales; Pseudomonadaceae. The record is from RNAcentral.
GGAUGAAGGGAGCUUGCUCCUGGAUUCAGCGGCGGACGGGUGAGUAAUGCCUAGGAAUCUGCCUGGUAGUGGGGGAUAACGUCCGGAAACGGGCGCUAAUACCGCAUACGUCCUGAGGGAGAAAGUGGGGGAUCUUCGGACCUCACGCUAUCAGAUGAGCCUAGGUCGGAUUAGCUAGUUGGUGGGGUAAAGGCCUACCAAGGCGACGAUCCGUAACUGGUCUGAGAGGAUGAUCAGUCACACUGGAACUGAGACACGGUCCAGACUCCUACGGGAGGCAGCAGUGGGGAAUAUUGGACAAUGGGCGAAAGCCUGAUCCAGCCAUGCCGCGUGUGUGAAGAAGGUCUUCGGAUUGUAAAGCACUUUAAGUUGGGAGGAAGGGCAAGUAAGUUAAUACCUUGCUGUUUUGACGUUACCAACAGAAUAAGCACCGGCUAACUUCGUGCCAGCAGCCGCGGUAAUACGAAGGGUGCAAGCGUUAAUCGGAAUUACUGGGCGUAAAGCGCGCGUAGGUGGUUCAGCAAGUUGGAUGUGAAAUCCCCGGGCUCAACCUGGGAACUGCAUCCAAAACUACUGAGCUAGAGUACGGUAGAGGGUGGUGGAAUUUCCUGUGUAGCGGUGAAAUGCGUAGAUAUAGGAAGGAACACCAGUGGCGAAGGCGACCACCUGGACUGAUACUGACGACUGAGGUGCGAAAGCGGGGGAGGGAAAC